Molecule: long non-coding RNA, 5199 nt
Organism: Carassius gibelio (silver crucian carp)
Lineage: Eukaryota; Metazoa; Chordata; Actinopteri; Cypriniformes; Cyprinidae
Exons: 6
Source: RefSeq, a predicted model, not a curated record
UUCUGGUUCACUCGUGUUCUCUUCUCUCUCUUCUUUUACAAACUCCAUCUUCACAGCAGCAGAUCUCAGUUCAGAUGAUAAACUCCUCCAGAUAUUCCUGCUCGCUUCAAAACUCAGUCACGACUGUGAGGACGAGAUUAUUACAGACUGUGAGCCCUACAACCUACUGCCACCUGAAUGCUACUGUGCCAAUGCUUCGACUAUACUUUGAAGAUGGAUCUGACCAUCGCCUCAGCCUCCGGCUUUCACGACAGUCCAUCAUGUCCAUCAUCGCUGCUUUGAAGUCAGACUCUGACCAUGGCUGGGAAAAGGAUAUUGAGGUGCUGGUGUUCCUGUACUGGCUGGCUCAUGCAGCAUCAUAUCGGGUUGUAUCUCUGGCCUUCGACAUCCCAAAGGCCACAGUGCAUGACAUUGUGCACAGAAUCAGCAGGGAAGUCGUCAGUAUUUUGUAUUCCCGACCCUGGACGACCUGGAGGAAGUGGGGGCAGGUUUUUGCUCAACUGGCUGGGUCUUCAGCUUUUUGCAUGGUGGCUGGUGCAAUAGACGGAUUCCACAUCCGGAUCAAGCCACCAGCAAGUGAAGCCCCAUGCUACUUCAACUGAAAGCUGUUCCACUCAGUCCAGCUGCAGUUCUUCACUGACCACAAGGGGAAGUUCAUCGACAUCUUUGUCAGGUCCGCUAUUGGCUUAUAGCCCGUUAGCAUCAGCAAGCAUGGCGGAUGAAUGUCUCCACUCUGUGCAGCUCGAGCUCGAGGCCGUGGGGAAGCAGAUUCGCGACCUGGAGGUAAGGCAGGCCCAGCUGAGAGAGUGGAGAGCCGCGCUGGAAUCAUCCCAGGCUGACGCUCACAAGUCCAGGGCCCGGUGCACCCAGGACGCGAUCUUCCCAGAUGUCCUUCACUGCGACGCCGGGACACCACGGACCCUGGGUGCAUCCACAGCGGAGGACGCGAGUCGGGCCCCGGGCGACGACUUCUCCGCCUCCUGCCUUUGAGAUCUCCAUCCGGAACCGCUUCGCUCCCCUCCACGAGACAGGACGCGACGCUGUGAUCAUCGGAGACUCCAUCGUCCGACACAUACCCGUGAUCCUGAAGGCCGGCGAGAGCCCCAGAGCGGUCGUGCUUCACGCCGGGGUUAACGACACCACGCUGCGGCAGACGGAGAUGCUGAAGAGGGACUUCAGCAGCCUGAUCGAGACGGUUCGCAGCACGACGCCCGCGGCGACGAACAACGUCAGGACCACUGCCCACGUAUCGACGAGGACACGAAAGGUUCAGUAGACUUUUUGCUUUAAAUGAAUGGUUGUUGUCAUGGUGUAAAGAACAGAAACUGCUAUUUGUUAAUAACUGGAAUCUUUUCUGGGAGCGUCCUAGACUGUUUCGCGCUGAUGGUCUGCACCCCAGCAGAGGCGGAGCAGAGCUGCUCUCGGACAACAUCUCCAGGACAUUUCACUCCAUGUGACUAAAGCUCCAGUCUGGAUCCAGAACACCUGAGAAGAGAUGAUGCUGACCCUCAGAGGACCCCAGAUGAUGCUAACCCUGAAUCAACAAACAGAACUAACAAAUAUUGCUACAAGUGUGACUGCAUCAUAUAACAAUUAUUAUUUAAUAAUAUUAAUAAUGUUCAUCGUCUAGCUGACUACGUCUUGUAUUAAUUUUUUCUAAAAAUCCUGUCAAACGUGCACAAACUGACAGUCACCAUCAUAAGCUACUACUAAAUAUUGUAGAAACAUAAUUUUCUGUAAAGUUGCUUUAUAACGAUUCGUAUUGUAAAAAGCGCUAUACAAAUAAACUUGAAUUGAAUUGAAUUGAAUUAUAAAGCCCUGAAUGGUUUAGCACCUCAGUAUUCAGGGUUUCUGCAGGGUUUAAUCAGUCAAAUGUAAGACUUUUUAAGACCUUUUUAUGACCAUUAGCAUUUUAAUUAAUGACCUACACGAAUUACGAUAAAUAACUUCAGUCAUUAAAAAUCCUUUCAAAAGUAUUUUUUUUUUAUUUUUGACUUUCAUUGAAAGUAACAAGUUUUAUUAUUUAAAGAGUUAUUCUAUUAUUUCUUAAGAUUAAGAAACUGAAGCCUUCGCCUUCUUUUUCUUGAGGAUCAAGAACACAGAAACACUUAACAAUUGUAACAUUGUAAAGUAACAUUGUAAAUUAACAAUUAUUUUAUGGCAUUACUUUCUGUUUGGUCACAGUAUUCAACACCCACAGGCAGGGGCGUGACUCUAAGCAGUAUGAUACAGUAUGUUCGGAGUUCGCGUGGGUUUCUGUGAAAGUCCUUCUGACAAGUCUGUAUGCUGCCGCAUGGACCUUGUAGUUCUGGAACGAUGUGAUACCAGUGUGAUACCACCCAGAUUCCUCAUUCAGAACUACAACAGGUGAAACAAAUUAAUGCCAUUGCCGCUGCGAGCGCAUUUUGAUGGAAGAACAAAUUAAUGGACUAGCAUAUCAAUUUAAGACAUGGCCAAAUGUCUUUUAUGACCUUGUAUGGAAAAUCUGACGUUUUUAUGACUUUAUAUAGCCUUAAAUUCUUAUUGUUAAAUUUAUGAUUUUUGUAUGGCCCCGCGGAAACCCUGAGUAUUUGAAUGAGCUCCUGUUACAUUAUAAUCCUCCAUGUCCACGGUGUUCUCAAAACUCAGGCAAUUUGAUAAUACCUAGAAUAUCAAAAUCAACUGCGGGUGGCAGAACCUUUUCCUAUUUGGCGACUAAACUCUGGAAUAAUCUACCUAACACUGUUCGGGUGGCAGACCCAUCUCUUUAACCUGGCUUACACAUAACAUACUAAUAUGCUUUUAAUAUCCAAAUCCGUAAAAGGAUUUUUAGGCUGCAUUAAUUAGGUAAACCGGAACCGGGAACACUUCCCAUAAAACCCAAUGUACUUGCUACAUUAUUAGAAGAAUGGCAUCUACGCUAAUAUUAGUCUGUUUCUCUCUUGUUCCGAGGUCACCCUGGCCACCAGAUCCAGUCUGUAUCCAGAUCAGAGGGUCACUGCAGUCACCCGGAUACAGUACGUAUUCAGACCAGAUGGUGGAUCAGCACCUAGAAAAGACCUCUACAGCCCUGAAAGACAGCGGAGACCAGGACAACUAGAGCCCCAGAUACAGAUCCCCUGUAAAGACCUUGUCUCAGAGGAUCACCAGGACAAGACCACAGGAAACAGAUGAUUCUUCUGCACAAUCUGACUUUGCUGCAGCCUGGAAUCGAACUACUGGUUUCAUCUGGUCAGAGGAGAACUGGCCCCCCAACUGAGCCUGGUUUCUCCCAAGGUUUUUCUCUCCAAUCUGACAUCGAUGGAGUUUUGGUUCCUUGCCGCUGUCGCCUCUGGCUUGCUUAGUUGGGGUCACUUCAUCUACAGCGAUAUCAUUGACUUGAUUGCAAAUAAAUGCACAGUCACUAAAAGUAAGUAAGUAAGUAGCCCUUUAUUGUCACUAGUCACAAGUACCAGCGAAAUUAGCCAUCAACCUGUCCAUACAUACAGAACAUACAUACAAUGGGCUAGACAGAACAGGAAGACAGGGAAUUGAGGAAGAAAUACAGCAUAACAUUAGGAAAGUGAGGAGAACCAACACCCAUACUAUGCUCCUUUUGGAGUACAGUAUGGGAACAUGAAAAAACACCUCAGCAACAAAAGCACAUAAUCACCAUAAACACACGACUUUGCAACUGGGGACAGAAAUUGGGGGGGGGUCGAGGUAAUCCAGUGCAGGCAGCAGCCAUCCUAACCUGCAGCUAAAAAGCGCUGGUCACAGACCCGCUUGACAGACUGGCGGUAUGAAGCAGCGAAGGCGAGGGAUGGGGGUGGGGAGGUGAGUGCAUAUCUGUAUAUGUGUAAGAGUUUGUGUAUUAGUAGGCCUGGAGAGUUGCGAUUGUCUUGUUGGGGAUAACAGUUCAAAACCCAAGGACCAGGUGUUGUCGUAAUGAAGACCAGGAGUCAGAGAUGAGUUCAAUUAAUAAUAAUAAUUUUACUUAAAGGAAAUAGUUUGCAGUUUAAUCGGCAGAAGUCAGCGUCAAUACUCUCGCAGGAGUCCGCAAGCUGCUCUGCCGUACAAUACAAAAUCAGUCAUAGUUAUACUCCAGACAAAGACUUUAGUUGCAUCAAACCGCUGGUCAGCAGCAAUCUGAUUGGUUCCAAAACCUAGAUAAACUUAGACAAUCUUCACAUAUGGGCAUACACAUCUUCAGCAUAUCUCCAGUGAUUAUAGCAGGCGUCAGCACGGUUGAAGAAGACACCUCAUCCUAGGUCUGGAAUCCAGCAAUGUCAGCCGCAUCACUUUAUGGGCGCACACACACACAAACCUUAUCUGCUAUUUCCAAGGUUCUCUAGCACUGGCAAGUCUUUUUAUCACUACGGUUGGUUACACACACAAAGCAGGCUGACAUUAAUCUUGAAGAAUAGAAAUACAGGAUAAAACAGAGUUCUUAAUAUCUAAUGUACAUUUGGACAUGUUAGAAUACUGCAUGUCUCCCUCGUAGUACAUAGAAGAGGCCCCCUGGUCCUUUUUAGCUGACCUUGUGACCCUAGGAGAAAGAAUACUCACACACGUUCAUGACAUGUAAAACCUGACACUUCUAGGAAGAAAUAAUAUGUUUCUGAGUAUGCAUGCAUCAAUCUAUAGUGUAUAGAUGGCUUUCUUCAUUUCAUCACAUCAUACAACAAUCUUGGAGGUUAAAUACUGAUCAAACACUUGAUUAAUAAUUACACAAUAUUAAUGAGAUAAUAUAUUUUGAAAAAAGGAUAUAAUCAGCGGCAGAAUCUCCAUCCUCUCCCUCAGUCUCUAGAUGCCUCAGUCCGCAGAUUAUACAGCGUAACAGCAAGUUGCCAUGGAGACAGCCUUGGUCAGGUCCUAGACAGAGUCAACAACAAUCAGCAGGUGUCUUUGGGAAAUAGGUUGAGGAACGCGGAGCGUCUCGUUGCCAUGCUUUCCAAGGGGAAAAUUUGUUAUCCAGCCAAGGCCAAGCUGGGAGUGGAGCCGAAAGAAGAUAAGAUACCAGUUGUUUUGGUCUAGUAGCCGCAUUCCAAUUUAACGGUCACUGUGAUUGUCUUUUUUGGUCUCCAAAUCCUCCAUCUCCCUUUCCAAAGCCGAGAGCUUCACUGUGAUGUUACCCAUAUUGCGGUUAAUAUUCUCAGUCUCAAUGCUGACCGCUCUGCCCACUGCUUCAAUCAUGACGGGCAGCCUUGUGAGGCUUUGGACAGCUGUUCCCACCUUCUU